Leopardus geoffroyi (Geoffroy's cat) is the source of this 8488-nucleotide long non-coding RNA. RefSeq lists it as uncharacterized. Lineage: Eukaryota; Metazoa; Chordata; Mammalia; Carnivora; Felidae. The transcript is spliced from 2 exons. The record is from RefSeq and is a predicted model, not a curated record.
AGCCCCAUAUGGGGCUCGGUCUCACAGACAGUGAGAUCAUGACCUGAGUCAAAAUCAAGAGUCAGAUGCCUAACCUACUGAGCCACACAGACAACCCACUGUGAGUGAUUUUUUAAUAGUAUCAGUUAUGACUUCGUGCCCAGCAUGGUACUUGUUGUCAAAAACAUACAAUGAAUGAGACGUGAUUCUUGCUGUAACUAGCUCACAGCUUAUUUGGGGGAACACUCAUACUAUCUACUGAAACCAGGGAAGAUUUCAGCCAAGAGCUUAUGAUUAAGUGUUGAAUGAUACCUUGCAUAUCACCAAGUAUGAAAGCAGAAGAGUAAGACAUUCUAGGUAGAGGGAACAGCAUGGGGAAGGUUACUGAGCUAAGAAAAAACACAGUAUGAUACCAGAAUCAUGAGAAAUUUGCUGAGAAUUAGCUUGAGCCCACAGUUUAGAAAGAUUGUGUAUCUUGGACAGCCUGGCUGUCCCAAUCGGUAGAGCACGUGACCCUUGAUCUUAGGGUUGUGAGUUUGAGCUCCACAUUGGGUAUAGAGAUUACUUAAAAAUAAAAUCUUAAAAAAAAAAAAAGAUCAUCUAUGAUAUGCCAUAUCCAGAACUUUCAUGGUAGUGCUUACAUGUUAGCCAUAAUUCCUGGUGGCAAUUAAAACUAUGACAAAAGAGAGUAUGUUCGUUGACAUACUAGAAAGUCUUGGCAUUAGUUGUGGCUUCAGGCAGGGCAGGAUCUGUGGCUCAAAUAUAUAACCAGAUUAUUAGUCUCUUUCUAUCCUCUGGCUAUGGUGGUCUCUUUGCGACUCAGUUCUGCAUUCUUGUAGCUGGUGGGAGAAAUGGCUGCCUGAGGGACCAGAACCUUGUUCUCAUGCAAUAUUAGUAAUGAAAGAAAGGGACCUUGCUCUCAGAAUAUAUGCAUCCCAGGGAAGAUUCUAGUCCAGUUUAGAUCAUGUGCUUUGUCUCUGAACCAAUCACUGUGGUCAAGAGACAGGUCAUUUAAUUAGCUGACCAAGGUGAUGUGUGGAAAGGGAAUAGAACGCUCUGACCCACAGAAUCAAACAGAGUAAAGUAUGCUUCCUAGAAGAAUAGAAGGAAAAGGAAGGACCAAUGUGCCGAAUAGGAAGAACUAUAGUUGGGUUAGCCCUUAUAUCCCCUAGGAUGUUUUUCUAUUUUCAAGUUCGGGCAUUAAGCUACAUGUUUGGUGUCUUAUUCUUGUGAUAUUGUGUUUCAAACCUUAGCUGAGGAUUUUACACACUCCAUGCGUGUUCAACUCCAAUCCGGUCGCUUAUUAACAAAAGAGAAUGAAUGCCUUUUUCCUCUUUUAACAACCCCAGUUUCCUCAUCAGUGAAAUCAGGGUAAUAGUGGGGACAUGGUGAAGGUCCAUCAGGAAAGCCAAGCACGCCCUCAAAGCGCAUUACGGUUCUUCCCGGGCCAGGCUGAGUUUAUCCACCUGCUGUUGACAUAGGAGCUUCUCCCUCUCCCUGUCCCUUCGGCAGACUGAUCAGACGGAAGGUCGCCCCUUACACCCAGCGGCCCCAGACCUCUCAGGAGAGGGCAGGUUGCUGCCCGCGUGCCAGUGAGGAGCCAGCUUGGGGCAGGUGGUAGAACCACAUCGUUUCCAGAUGAAACAGGGCUCCCUGGACAUCAGCUGCCAUGCUUGAAGGGGCGUGCAGACAAAGAGCCAAAUUUAAAUUCAUGUAAUGUUGCUGUUUGUAACAUUGAAUACUUAAGACAUCUGCUCAAAGUCUCGCAUUAGAAAUGAAUGGAAAGGAUCCAGGAGUGCUUUAUUAGAUGGGAGCCGUUAAGUGAGCGCCACAUAUUUCAAAGCAGGAUCUUAAUCAGACAUUAUUUAUAUCUGUAAUAUUUUAGAAAUUAAAAGCAGUAGAAAUAGUCACCGGAAGGAUGUCAGCAGGCAGGGGUGAAAAAAAAAAAAAAAAAAAAAAAGAACCUGAAGCCUAGAAGAGAGAGGCUGAUCAUCUCUGGGGGCGGGGGUGGGGGAGGGUGAAAAAGUAGCAAAUUUACCGUCAUUGGCAGGUGUCUAAAUGUUCCAUUUAAAUUAAAUGGCACAUGUCACAAGGCAGCAUGGGCAUUGCGCAUCCCGCCCUGCGCUUCUGUUUCGGCCAGAGAGCCUAUUUUUCUUCCCCUCUCAGCUCAGCCACCGUCUCCUCCCUGACACUGGGUCACCCAGGGCUUCUACUUUAUUAUUUCCUUUUACUUUAGUUCAUUAUGCUCUGUGAUUCAGUGGAAACAUAAAAAAUGGUUCUUAAUUUUAAUUAAUGGCAAACUUAGCACAGGCCCAUUUAAUAAAUCUGUUCUCUGAACUUCACAAGUCUCUUCCCCGGCAAGGGCCUCCUGUCAUUUUAUUAGUGCCAGAACCUCCCAACCGAACGGCUGAGUAAUUGACAAAAACUGCAGGUAAGGCAGGAGACACGUAAUUGAUUCGUAAGAUGCCUUCCGCAGAACGCGCUGAAGAGUUAAUUAUUUUUCCUGCAGUUGGGACUCAGCUGUUGUUUCCACUGGGAUUAAACAGCUGUCAGCAUUGUUAAUGACAUCAAAUUCAUGCAUUAAAAUCCUCAUUCCCUUGCCAUAUAAAGUGGGGUUGCAGAAAUCUCUGCCACAUCCCCCUUUAUGAAGGAGUGAAAAUUCAAGGAAAGAUAACGGCCCUUAUUACAAAACCACAGACCGGAGCUUGUGUUGAUGAAAUCUCGUAAUGAGUAAUUAAGCCGCUUUGCAAAAGUCGGGCUGUCAUGUUGGCAUUUGGGUACUUAGGUUCCUUGGUGGAAACAGCUGGAUAGACUGGGAAGGUGAUAAAGGAAGAAAAAUAGAAUUUUUCUCGAAUGAUCUCCCCCCCCCUUUUUUUUUAAACAACGCAAAACAGUUACUAAAUAAUUAACUGAAAAUGAACUUUUGUAUCUUUUUAAAGUGUCUGCUGAUUUCUUCAAACAUCUGUAACAGUAUGUCUGAUGAAUCGAAAGGCUUGUGUCUCCUUUUGGGGGGGGGUAUUUUUCUUUCUGUCUCAAUCUCCCACGUUGUAUGAGAACAAACUUUAGGGUUUUGUUUCUGUUUGCCUUGUCUUGCUUUGCUUAGUUUUGUUUUUUGAAGCAUUGUCUUAGCACAUGAAAGUUCACACCUUGAGUUUGACUGGGCAAUCUGUCCCCGAGGAAAAAGUAAAUGAAGGUAUGUCUGCGUGUCUUGCGACACAAAUCCCUAUGCAAGGACAGAGUCAGGGGUGAGAAGGCAGGAACAGCACCAGGGUUUAGAGCUGAGGGCCCCCACUUCCACUGGUAGACAGAAAUGGGUAUUUUUCUGUCUCCAACUGAGGAAAAAUAUACAUGUGUAGAUUUUCAUGUUUCCCUUCAGUGUAUCUGUUUCAUGAAACAAGAUCAACCCUCGGAUUAUUUCAGGAUGACUGUUCUUUUUCCCUGGCAAGGCAAAACUCACCCAAACGGCGAUUUCAAACGUUUAAAAUUAUGUUCUAAAAAUCUUUCCCCUUUCCCAAAACAUCUGGCAGUCCGAAAGUGAGCUCUCCCCCACUUUGGCACCUGAGGGUAGGGCGCAAUGUCACAAACCGAACAGUGAUUAGCAGGGCCCCUCAACUUCCUUACUACCGGGAUGCCGAGAGAAGGGCAAGAGGGAAGACAAAAUCAUCAGAAUCAUCAAAUUCUUUUGGAUUCCUGUUAGAGCAAAACCAUCGCAAAGGAACUCCUAGAAACGCAGAGGCAAAGCAGUUAAAUAACUAACUACCUCCCCGCCCAGAUAAUAAAAUGGGAGCAUUUUAUGUGUCACAUCCAUACCCAUCUUAAUUGAACGGCACGCGAGUUCUCUCCAACCCCUGCCUUGUACUGCACGAGCUUUCCGGAGUCUUAGCAAAGGAGGAAUCACUCAGACUUAGGUGUUCAGUGAAUGAGGCUUCCUUCUCCCCACCUGGUUCCCAGUGCGAGCUGAUAAAUCCAUCUUGGUUCUGAUUAUCAACCAAACAAGCCAUAGGUUAUUUUUUAUUUUUUUAUUUUUUAGCAGUAUCAUGUCAUGAUGCACCAGGAAUCAUCUCAGUUUGGUUUUUGAUUAAGCCAAAGCCUGAUACUCCUGACUCAGAGACAGCAUCACCCGAUGGAAAUCGCUCGGCCUAUAUGGCCAAGGCCAUUUGCAGUUACAGCGUGGCCAAACCCCGAGGCCCACGCUCGCUCUCUGGUGUCGGGUCCCCCAGCUCACCGCCUUUUGGAGUGGGACGUUGAGGGCGUAACCUCCCAAAGCCUGCAACCCAGGCCGGGAAGCAGAGACAAUUUAUUACCCUGGCUUCCCGUCCGCGAGAGGCCUGGGGAGGCCUUGAAAUUCGCAGCUGCAAGUCAAAUUCCACUAGCGCAGUCACGAAAUUUAAUGAGGCCUCUCCGGACUCAAAGAGAGAUGGACGUUUCCAGGCUCGCUGUCUCCUCUCCGCACCCCCCCUCCACCCCCAUCCCCAUGAGACCUUCCUGCAAAGGCCUCCAACACUGGCCUGGCUGGGUCUCAGGCACUUGACCUCCUGACUUUUUAGCUGCCAGCUUGGGAACCUUUGAGAACCCUUCUCUCUGGAGAUGUCGCUUCCUUUCAAUGGCGCCUUUGGCCAGUUGCCCGCUCCGGGGUUCUGUAACCUCAAGGGAUGUUAUCUCCCUCAAAUACAAAUUUGAAGAUUUUGUCUUCCUUUCUUCCUGGUGCAUCCUUGGAUGUCCUGCACAGUGACUGACACAGAGAAGUCACUGAUCAUUGUGUGGUUUUUUUUGAUGAAUGAAUGAAUGACUAAGGGCUUUUUUCCUUGCAAAGCUCCUUGCACGCUUUAAUCUAGCCAUCAUCUUGUGAAGCACACCUACUUCUUUCUGAUCUGCAUUUUUAGGUAGUUUUGAAAUGAGAACCAAUGAGGCUGCUUUUGUUCUGGUACGUCCUGUCCUCACGCACUCCCAGCACCCAGAGCGGUGCGGUCAGAGUCUCAGAUCCGGAGCACGUGAUGUGCGUGGGCCUGUGAUUAAUAGAGCCUCGUGGCACGCAAGCCACGCAGCCUGGGAGGCCAACCGAGCAAGUCAUUUCUAAAGAAGGGACCCACAGGGUGGAGAAUGGGCUGUGCCAUGCAGUGGAAAGAGACAGAACAUGCAUACUUGGCCACUGGAGGGCCAUUUUGGUCCCGAGGAGCAAGUGAGGUCAAGGAUCUACGUCGGGAAUCCUCAGCUUGUGAGCGUCAGGGCCUCGGCCCCUCCAGGCGUUAACAUCCGCACCAGUCAGAGGGCUCCUGGUUUAGCGUGACACCGACGUAAACGAACACAAAGAGAACAUACCUGCGGUGUCCUGGGGGAGAGGUAGGGGGUGCUCGACGGCUAGUUCUUUUCUCUUCCUGUAACCUGCACGUGCACUCCCCCCCCCCCCUUCUACCCUGCGCCCUGUUCUUUUUCUGAGGCCCACCGACAUAGAAGUGCCUGGCUGGGGUUCCACACCUCUCUUCUUUCUGCUGGUUGUGUUUUCUCGAAUGUGGCACCCAAGCCCUUCGGGGCACUUUCCCCUGGUCUGGGAGAGUCCGGUGUUCACGGGGGCUCACGUAUGUGUCAACCCAGCAGCUCUUGUGCUGCCUUUGGGCAAUUGUGUAAGAGCUGUUGAUCCUUCUCUUGCCCCCGUAAGUGAGCGAGUGGUAUUUUAGGUACCCUGUACAUCUUGGAAUCAAGAGGUUGUUUUGAAUUGCUCCUUUUGGUGAGAUGCAGGCAAGUGGGCCAGGACUCCAGAGCUCUGGAAGGAGGAGGGAGGAGCUUGGCGUUUGUCAGAAACGUGCAGCCCUGGAAUGCAGAUGGCCUCCCUUGGGGACCUGGGCUCCUUGUAGGAUCCUCAGAGGGCCUGGAAUCCUCCAGAUCAUAUUCAUGUGCCUAAUCAGUUCUGACCACAAAAGCUCUUGGAGUGGUCCUGUGUCUGCCCUGGCCCCCUAGAUACAUCAAAUACCAGGAGCCUUAAGGACCUUAGCUAAAUGAGCCUGCCCCCCACGUCCCCCAUUUUAUUUUUCCAUCCUUGAACCCCACUCAGACCUCCUUUCUGCAUUUGGGGCAAUUUCUUCAUCCCUGUUUCUUGGAGGGGCUUAAUAUACAAAUUUUACAUGAACAAAGGUGGUAGGAGUGAGGGGACAGAAGGACCUUGAUGAAGGCAGAGCCCAAGGGAGAGCUCAGAGGGAGGGUAAGCCCAGCAGAGGGCGAGGGCGGAUGCGUGGGCUGCCAUGACCUGCCCGACCACCUUGGGGGCUCCGUUGCAGGCACACGCUCCCAUCUUACCCUCGCAGCUCCCCUCUGGGAAGCAGCAGGCACACUACCAGUGUAAGCGAGGAAACGUGAGGCGCGUUUGUGUUCCUAUAUAUAUUUUUUAAUUGAGGUGAAAUUCACAUACCGUUCAAACGAACCAUUUGCAAGCAAACAAUCUGUGGCAGUUAGUACAUCCACCAUUUUAGGCAGCUGCCACUGCCUAUCUAUAGGGAGUUCCAAAAUAACUCCUCACCCUGCAAUAACCUGUGUACCCAUUCUUGCUUCCUCUCGGCCCCUGGGAGCCUGCAGUCUGCUCUCUGUCUCUAUGGACUUGCCUUUUCUGGACAUUUCAUAUCAAUGGAAGUCUACAACAGGUGACUUUUCAGAUCUGUCUUCUUGUACCUAGCCUAGCGUCUUGCAGGUUCAUCCACGGUGUGGCAUGCAUCGAAACUCCAUUCCUUUUUGUGGCUGAAUACUAUUCCGUGGUUUGUUGGUACCACAUUUUGACCAUCCAUUGAUCCACUGAUGGACAUCCGUGUUGUUUCCACCUUUUGGCUGUUGUGAAUGAUGCUGCUAUAAACACGCACGUGCAAGUGUUUGUUCCCAUCCUGUGUUCAGUCGUUCGGAGGACAGACUUAGGAGUGGCAGCUACCCAGUGCUGGAUCCUUGGGCCAUCCCAUCCUUCACUUUUCGAUGAAUUAUCACACUGUUUUCCACAGCAGCCGAACCGUUUGCACAUUCCCGCCAGCAACAUUCAGAGGGUUUAGUUUGUCCACGGCCUCUCCAAUGCUUGUGUUUCAGACGUCUCUGAGACAAGGAAUGGUGCCCAUUUCUCAGGACAUGUGCAGGCAUGCGUGGAAUAGGAGAUGUUGAAGAACCUGGGAGGUCCCUGGUGGCCCACACCUUCUGUCUCUCUUUCUUUCUUCCCUCUGGAAGCAGCACUCAGUGUCUUCCCAGGUCGGCUGUAUUGGUGAUGUUUGCCUUCGUCCAAAAGAUGCGAUUGAUAAUUGGAGGUAGAGUCGGGGGUUAGUCAACGUGUGGGCGCCCCGUCCCCGACUCCCACCCCAAAUCCGUGCCAAACUAUAAUUGUUCUUCGCCUUUCCAAACAUCUGGGUGAUCAAUUUUCAUUUUGAAGUAGGUCAUCUGAGCUCCAUUUUGCAAAUGGAGAAACUGAGGCAGAGUUUGCCAAACAUGGCUCAUUUCCCUUGGCAUUGCCAUCUUUUGAAUUUUACGUAAACGCUUUCGCUGCUAAGUUUGUGCCAACAGCAUCACUGGAAUUGUUUUUAGUUCUCUUGGCUCUCACCAAGUCUACACAACGCCACUUGAAUUGGCAACGUCAGAGUCGAACCUCAAUUUUCGCAAUUAAUCGCGCCGCAGUUAAUUAAAUUGAUUGCCUGGCAGUCCAGCCUCAUUUAAAAUACUAAUAGUUUAUUUAUUUAUUUCGCUGUUUACAAAGCAUUCUUAGCUGCCACCGUCUUGCAGGAUUCCGUUUGGGUGUCCUGACGAUGGGAAUGAUAAUAACGUCCGUGUCUGAUUAUUCUGUAGUUAAGAGUUCUAGGAACUGGAUGUGGCAUUUCAAACGAGGGUUACAAUUUUGACUUUGAAAGUGGGACCAGAUUUCCUUACUCACCUCAGUUCUCCCAAGGAGACAGAAGUCCCAGUUUAGCCACUAAACUUGCCGCCUUUUAAGUAAGUAUUUUGCAGAAGAGCAUUUAUUCUCAGUAUCUGAGAAAGAGGAGAAGGGGAGUACCAGGUUAAAGAGUGCAGUUGUGUGAUUCCGCAGGAUUGAACUCCCUGGACGAUAUGGAGGGGCGUCGCUUUCCAUUUUAUUUGCUUUCAGAAACGUGAAAAUAGAGUCCUAUCGGGUCCUGGCAGAAGCCCUGCCUUUUGGUUCUUGACGUGUGUGUAGAUCUGUGCUAAGAGGCUCUUUGCUCCUCCGUCAUGAGGUAUUUUUGUAUGUAAUGCAACAGUACUUUCCAGGUUCCUUGAAGCCUCAUGAAGCUCUUUCUGCAGAUUUGUGUGUGUUGGCGUGAAGCCUGUGUCCUAAGAGGGAGGGUCCUGUGCGGCUAGACUUUCCUGAAAUCUGCAUGUGGUCUACACGACAUCGCUGGGGGCCUCAGCCAUCUGACAUGGCUUCACCCACACCUCCCAGCACCGCUCUCUUGUUCCCUCAUUAGGAUUUCCCUGUGCUUGCAUAAUGCCUCAGCCAUUUCAUGAUCUCUGUGUGAAUAUUCAAAAAUGCCCAAAGACG